Molecule: non-coding RNA, 103 nt
Organism: Acanthosepion pharaonis
Lineage: Eukaryota; Metazoa; Mollusca; Cephalopoda; Sepiida; Sepiidae
Source: the annotation of a GenBank genome assembly
CUCACAUUGAAACACCGGUUCUCGUAUGAUCACCGAAGUUAAGCAACGUCGAGCCUGUUUAGCUCUUACAUGGGUGACCGUUUGGUAAUACCAGGUGCUAUAA